GUGCCAGCAGCCGCGGUAAUACAGGGGGUGCAAACGUUGCUCGGAAUUAUUGGGCGUAAAGCGCGCGUAGGCGGCUACCUAAGUCGGAUGUGAAAGCCCCUGGCUUAACCGGGGAAGUGCACCCGAAACUGGGUAGCUAGAGUGCAAAAGAGGGUCGCGGAAUUCCCAGUGUAGAGGUGAAAUUCGUAGAUAUUGGGAGGAACACCGGUGGCGAAGGCGGCGACCUGGGUUGACACUGACGCUGAGGCGCGAAAGCGUGGGGAGCAAACAGGAUUAGAUACCCGGGUAGUCC
Molecule: ribosomal RNA, 292 nt
Filed under: uncultured bacterium
Lineage: Bacteria
Description: partial 16S ribosomal RNA
Rfam family: Bacterial small subunit ribosomal RNA
Source: RNAcentral